CCCAUCCCAGCCCCCCUCUUCGUGGUCUCGUCUCCUUCCCCUUUCUCUUCUCAAUCCAGAUCCAUGGAGGUGGACGAUAGGGACGCCAUCGAUCGCGACGCUAGGGUUCCUAGCCACUGCCACACGCACAGCCGGACAAAGUCACCUCCGCUCUUGCGGCCAUCGAUGGUCCUCCCCACCGUCGCCCGGAAUUGUUCCGCCCAUCUCUGCUCGCCCCCGAGUAGGAAGGCCGUGGCGAAUCUGGCACCUAUAGUCGGAAGCAACAGGGUUGGUGGAGUGGCGCAUGCUGGCGGGGCUGGUAGUUGAGGGGGCUCACCGGCCGUAGCGGCAGGAGCGGUCGGGGAAUCACAUCGCAAGAGGCUGCCUUGGUGAUGAUCUUGCUACAAGUUUCUUCUUGGGUUUACACGGUAACCGUGCAGGCAACUGGUGGUGGAGUCUCGCCGGAUGAUGUGACGGCAGCCAUCGUCCAUAUUAAUUGAUUCAGUAUGUAUGCUCAAACUUUCCCUUGUAAGGCAAGACACUUCAGAGACCAAUGGUUGACAGUCACAGCUGAUACGUAGAACUGCAGGCUCCUCUGUUCCUGUCAGCUUCAGUAGCUCGUUGAUUAAGAUGUAUGAUUGGGUGACCAGCUGCAAGCUCUGGAUGCCAAGGGUGGAGCUUUAAAAGUACUUGAAAAAAUAGUGAUUGCCUAUUCCAUGAUGCAAAUUUCACCAUCCAGUUGAUGGGUCUGCACCUGAUUCCAUUUCAAAGUGGGAGCCUUCUCAGCAAUCUGUGAUGCUUACUCUUGCUGGCCUUCCAAGGAGAGAGGUAACAUCCAGAAAUAAUCGUACUAGCAUGUUGAUAAUUCAGGAUUAUAAAUGCCGUUUGUGGUUCUUUGUUGCUAGAACAUUCCCUUCCCGGGUCGGUUUGGUGAAUCAGCCGUUGUAUUAGUAAGCCGUUGGCACUAGUCCUUUCACGAUAAGGAUCUCUCAAUUGCUGAAAACUAACUAAAUAUCACUAUGAGAUUUUAUGGUGAGGAAUGGUGAAUAUUACCAUGUUGCUAUGCAUGGUAGGAUGCCUCUCGCUCUUGAAUCAUAAUUUCAUGAAAUGUUCUUGUCAAAUGCAAAUACUCAGUGUGUUCUACAGUCCCCUUUGCAUACCUUUUGCCUUUGCUUUCUUGGAUAGUUAUUCAUUAGUCGGUGUCAUCGAUUAUAACUUCACAUCGUCAAUGUUCAGCUUGUUUUUCAAACACCUGUGGAAGUUGCUGCAGGACACAUAACGGGGCGGACGCGAAGGCCUUCAUAGGUAGAGCAGAGCGAGGUCGAUACGGUGGCCAGGCGUGGUCUAGAGAACUGGUGGCUGGUGGUGCGCGAGUUGGAGGCGAGGUGACGUCAUUGACCAAGACGCCUCGUAUAUCCUCAUCUCGUGCCUCCGGGAGAGGAGCUCGUCGAGGAUCCCCUCUUCUCCAUGGAUCCACGAUAGAGGGUCAUAUAUGGAGGAGUGGAUUUGAAAGGAAAGAAUUCCAAUUAGUUGCUUUUGAGGAUGUUCCCGAGGCACUAAAGAACUGGUAGUCUCAUCGUAUGACGGUAUGUAUCUAUUUGGUCAUCAUGUAUAUUGUGUAAACAUAAAAUGAUGCACUGAAUGCACUGCGCUCUUUCCAAUUUUUAUUGUGUC
Molecule: long non-coding RNA, 1653 nt
Organism: Triticum dicoccoides
Lineage: Eukaryota; Viridiplantae; Streptophyta; Magnoliopsida; Poales; Poaceae
Exons: 7
Source: RefSeq, a predicted model, not a curated record